Molecule: ribosomal RNA, 565 nt
Filed under: Salmonella enterica subsp. enterica serovar Typhi
Lineage: Bacteria; Pseudomonadati; Pseudomonadota; Gammaproteobacteria; Enterobacterales; Enterobacteriaceae
Description: bacterial SSU rRNA
Rfam family: Bacterial small subunit ribosomal RNA
Source: RNAcentral
CAAAUGAAUUGACGGGGGCCCGCACAAGCGGUGGAGCAUGUGGUUUAAUUCGAUGCAACGCGAAGAACCUUACCUGGUCUUGACAUCCACAGAACUUUCCAGAGAUGGAUUGGUGCCUUCGGGAACUGUGAGACAGGUGCUGCAUGGCUGUCGUCAGCUCGUGUUGUGAAAUGUUGGGUUAAGUCCCGCAACGAGCGCAACCCUUAUCCUUUGUUGCCAGCGGUCCGGCCGGGAACUCAAAGGAGACUGCCAGUGAUAAACUGGAGGAAGGUGGGGAUGACGUCAAGUCAUCAUGGCCCUUACGACCAGGGCUACACACGUGCUACAAUGGCGCAUACAAAGAGAAGCGACCUCGCGAGAGCAAGCGGACCUCAUAAAGUGCGUCGUAGUCCGGAUUGGAGUCUGCAACUCGACUCCAUGAAGUCGGAAUCGCUAGUAAUCGUGGAUCAGAAUGCCACGGUGAAUACGUUCCCGGGCCUUGUACACACCGCCCGUCACACCAUGGGAGUGGGUUGCAAAAGAAGUAGGUAGCUUAACCUUCGGGAGGGCGCUUACCACUUUGUGA